RNAcentral lists this long non-coding RNA (1242 nucleotides) under Olea europaea subsp. europaea. The record is from RNAcentral. Lineage: Eukaryota; Viridiplantae; Streptophyta; Magnoliopsida; Lamiales; Oleaceae.
GUCACAACGCCCUCAUAGAACUCCGUCUCUUCAAUGCAAACUCGAUCUUGGGAAACUCUCAAAAGUCUAGAUUCUUCCCUUAGUCAAUUUUGUGCACAAAUCAAGGCCUCAACUUUUUUAGGAGUUAAAGAACUCCUAAAUGGAUCGAGAAUAUGCCCUCCAGUACUAAAUGAUGACUCAGAAGCAACUGUAGAUAUAGGAAUGGCAAAAAACAUCCCUUGUAACCUCAGAUAAAAUUUCAAAUCUUGAUUUAUUGAUCUUCCACCAAUUUAAAAUGUCAAAAUUUUCAUCACUAGCAUCUUCAAUGGGUUCCAUUAGAUAUCAUUGUACCUCAUCUUUUCUAGAAAAAUUCAUUUUGGUAGUUCCCAAAAUCAAAAUUGCAAUCAUCCCAGUCGUCAUCAUCAUCAUUUGAACCUUUCAACAAAGUGAUUCCAUCAUUAGAUUCAUCGCCCCCACUUCCACUUCCACUUCCACUAGGUCCAUUUUUUGAAUGAUGUCGUCCCUUAUGUUGGUUACACAAAGCAUACAAUAAUUUCAUGACCUCAUUUUUUGUGGCUUCAACUUUAACAUUGUCAUAUAAGAUUCCAAUGCAAUGUACAACACAACUUAUAUCUAGGAUCAAGCACGACUGCUACAAUCAAAAUCUUGUUCAUUUUAUCAACUUUACCCCAAUACUUGUCAAAAAUAAUCUUCAUGCUAUUUGCUAUACUACUUAGCAAAUAAUCUUGCUUCUCACCCAUUUUCUUCAAAAUUUCUCGAUUUUACAAACUUUGUGGAAGUAAAUAUUGGAAGCAACACUCAGCGAAGCACUAAACUUCAAUGUGAUAUCAUAAAAGGUUUUUAGAAAAUUUCUAGCUUUCUCCUAGUCGUAACUUGUAGUGGCCCCUCUUUUUCUUUUCCACCUUCAUUCUCAUCAAAAUAUUUACAAUAAACUCCAUCAUCUUCCUCCAUUCUUUCAACAGCUUUCUCAAAAUUCAAUGUACUGUCCAACAUUAAGAAUGUUGAAUUUCAUCUAGUAAGAACAUCUAAAAUAGCAAGUUUUGUGCAUGCAAUUUUUUCCCUUUCAAUACAACAUUUAAAUUUCGUCAACCGGGAAGGAGAUGAUUGAAAAUAUUUGAGCACAGUACGAAUACUUUCUAUAGAUGGAUUAAACUCUUUCAAUCCUUCUUUAACAAUAAAAUUGACUAUGUGUGCUUGAUAUGAUCCCGGGUGCGCCAUCAAUUUUUAAGAAUUCAUUGAUUG